This 437-nucleotide ribosomal RNA is filed under the name uncultured bacterium. Its description in RNAcentral is "partial 16S ribosomal RNA". It matches the Rfam family "Bacterial small subunit ribosomal RNA", at positions 29 to 507 of the family's 1533-position model. The record is from RNAcentral.
AGCGAACGCUGGCGGCAGGCUUAACACAUGCAAGUCGAGCGGGCAUCCUUGUGGUGUCAGCGGCAGACGGGUGAGUAACGCGUGGGAACGUGCCCUUCGGUUCGGAAUAACUCAGGGAAACUUGAGCUAAUACCGGAUACGUGCGAGAGCAGAAAGGUUUAUCUGCCGAAGGAUCGGCCCGCGUCUGAUUAGCUAGUUGGUGAGGUUACGGCUCACCAAGGCGACGAUCAGUAGCUGGUCUGAGAGGAUGAUCAGCCACACUGGGACUGAGACACGGCCCAGACUCCUACGGGAGGCAGCAGUAGGGAAUAUUGGACAAUGGGGGCAACCCUGAUCCAGCCAUGCCGCGUGAGUGAUGACGGCCUUAGGGUUGUAAAGCUCUUUUCUCCGGGACGAUAAUGACGGUACCGGAGGAAUAAGCCCCGGCUAACUUCGUG